CGGCGGGGAUUGCUGCAAGGGGCAUUGCUUUGUCUGCCGGGGACGUGCAGGUUCCGCCGCGGCUCUCCCGGGCCGCUGGAAGGCGCCUCAGCGGGGCCGAGCCCCGCGCCGCCGCGGCCCCGGGCCGAACCCCUGGGCCCCGCGGCCCCGGGCUGAGGCGAGGCGAAGCACCGGCCCCGGCCCCGGCCCCGCGGGUCUGGUGUGUGCACCUGCAGGAACGACGGGCAGGGGCUCGAGAAAGCCUACACCAAAUACAGGAUCAGCAAAAGUGUCCAGCUGGCUCAAGGCAAGUCUGCCUAGUGCAGUACCCUGUUCCUGGCAGGAGCCAGCACCAUGCCAGAAGGGUUGAAAAAGACAGAAAGAAUCCUGCAGCAUUCAGAAGCAACAUCUAUGCUGGCUUCUUGAUCUUUGGAAGCCCGAUAUUGAUCGAAGUCUGGGAGCAUGGAAUCUAACAUCUCUUUCACAGAAUGCACCAGAAAGUGGCUGUUCCACAGUAGGAAAGCUCUGAGGGCUGUGAUGGCAUCUCUGAAGGCAUCAGCUGAAUAUGUACCAGGUAGCUGCUCCGUCUAAAAUUCUAGGCAGCUGGAAACAACAGCAUGGAGAAGGCUGUCCCUCACUGAAGAGCCUAAUGGUGAGCAUUGGGCUAUCUACAUUAUUAAUGUUUUGAACAGAAAUAGCUAAUAAAUAUGCCCUGAGGCCCA
RNAcentral lists this long non-coding RNA (701 nucleotides) under Junco hyemalis (dark-eyed junco). Its description in RNAcentral is "lncRNA (ENSJHYG00000007833.1)". Lineage: Eukaryota; Metazoa; Chordata; Aves; Passeriformes; Passerellidae. The record is from RNAcentral.